AGCGGACCAGAGAUGACGCUUCCCUGGGGGGAAGGCCAGGCCAUCUGCAUAGCUGUCACGAAGGACUUAGCAGGCCUGAUUCCUUCCUGCCGAAGAAAUCCUGAAUUGCAUGCUCUGGUGCCAAUGAGCAUUUCUACACACAUGAGCAUGUUGACAAGUUCAUGACCUCCUGUGCUGUUUACCUUUCAGAAAUGAAAGGUCACAAAUUGACUUGUCCAAGGAAGCCAGCCAGCAAUCCUGAAGCUCCAAGUGCACCCCCUUGAGAUGACAUCUCCAACUGGAAUGGUGGCUCCACAAACGGAUGUGAGUGUUUGGCAGUCAUCCUGGGAUGCCUGGUUUACAGAUCUGUCCUUCCUGUCAUCUGAAUUCAGUGUGAAACCUUUUGGCCCAAUUUCAACACAUGUUGUGAAUGCAUGCCCUUGCAGAGC
Non-coding RNA from Microcebus murinus (gray mouse lemur), 428 nucleotides. The record is from RefSeq and is a predicted model, not a curated record. NCBI's taxonomy places the organism in Eukaryota, Metazoa, Chordata, Mammalia, Primates, Cheirogaleidae.